AGGCAACAGCAGCCGCCCUGUGGGCUCCAUGGAGACCAGGUAUAUUUAGACCACAGAAUGUUUAGAACAGCCUCGGCAGUCCAGGAGGUGGAAAUCCAAAAGCAGGAAAAUCCCACAGAGCGAAGCGUGGACGGAUACCUGACUUCAACUCACCUCUUUUAUAAAUGAAAUCCAUGAUGGCCCUGGUUACAUGAGCUCGACUCAAACUCUGAGCCCCCUGAGCUGCGGGGCCACCUGAUCCCUGAGCUGCCUCUCACCUGAUGCUGCUGCGGGUGUGCUUUGGGCGAGGGACGAGUCUUAAGGAAAACGAGAGGGCACUGCCUGCCUUGCCUUUGGAAUUCUAUUUACAGUGUGACCACUGCCGGGUCAAAGUGGCCCUGUGGCCCUCUCAGACACCGGCUCUUCUUUCCAAGGCAGAAACUCAGAGGAAAGGCCGAGGUCAAGCCAUGUGCUACCGUUUAUUACCCACCUUUGGUGUUGGGGGUGCCCCUAAACCUUGAUGCCUGAACUCCCCCGGGAGAGGGACCCCACGAGGGUUCGUCCCCAGCAGAGACCACUGGAGAAGAGGUGGUGGGGUUAGAACCACCCAAUGCCCCCCCGGGGAGCCCACCGAAACAGUGUCCCACACUGGUCUUCCAUGAGCAUUUUGCACUGGCUGCAGGCACAGACUCAUGGAUUUGAAGAGAAGGCUCAUCCUGCAUUCCCUCAAAAAUAAACCAGCAAACACGCAAACAAGGCAGGCAAACUGGAGUCUUGUCAGUCUCAGCAAAACUUCUUAAGAAUAAUAAUGCCCGAUCCAAGGAAUGGAAGGCCAGGGCCAACAGCUUUUCUGUGCAGAAUCUCCACUGGAGUCUAAGACAAGGCUGGUCCUGGCCAGGCUGAAGAAUUUUGGAACCCAAGAGUGCAAGCACCCGUAGAAAUCACCUGGUUACACGGCAGAGUUUCCUGGGGGCUUCCAUGGUUGGGGGGGGCGGGGGCUAGUCCGAGUGAGGCUGUCAGCGAAUCAAAGUUUGACUACCAUACACGCGGAAGAUCAGAAGAAUCGUCUCUCAGCCAGAAUCCUCAUUCUGUUGGCAGGGAGAUCGGGGCCCAGGGAGGCGAAGACACUUCCUGCCCCUCCAGGCCAGUGGCAGCCCCAGGGAGCAGGGGCUUGGUGGGUUCUCGCCGCUGCCGGUUCCUAGUGACUGGAAGAGCACCCAGCACGUCACGGUCACUCAGCAGUUAUUUGUUCAACGGACACGUGCUCUUAAGGAGGACUGAGAGGGUGCCUUGAUCAUCUGUUAUAGUUUCAAGACGGACAUCAUGGGGAUGGAAAAGGCCCAGAGAAACGAAAAGAGCAACAGCCAGAAACAUGGUUCGAACCCAGCUCUGCUCUUUAUGAGCCUCACAAGCCUGGCAAGUUCCUUCUCUACACCUCAUCUCCCACAGGUAUGAGCUAGGGCCCGUGGCCUAUCCUGCAAGUUUGUCGUGAGCCUGACCGAGGAAAUGGGUGUAGCCGGCAGGUGCUGAAGAAACUCAUUGGAGGGGCUCCUCUGGUAUCAUUACCCCGCUGCCUCCUGUACACUUGGGCAUUUCGUGCCUCGGCAGUCUGUGACACCCAAAACAAAGAACCUGGGGAGAAAGCGUGAA
Molecule: long non-coding RNA, 1629 nt
Organism: Neofelis nebulosa (Clouded leopard)
Lineage: Eukaryota; Metazoa; Chordata; Mammalia; Carnivora; Felidae
Exons: 2
Source: RefSeq, a predicted model, not a curated record